AGAGUUUGAUCCUGGCUCAGGAUGAACGCUGGCGGCGUGCUUAACACAUGCAAGUCGAACGAACCUUCGGGUUAGUGGCGGACGGGUGAGUAACGCGUGAGAAUCUGCCCUCAGGAGGGGGAUAACGGCUGGAAACGGCCGCUAAUACCCCAUAUGCCGAGAGGUGAAAUGAAUUUCGCCUGAGGAUGAGCUCGCGUCUGAUUAGCUAGUUGGUGGGGUAAGAGCCUACCAAGGCAUCGAUCAGUAGCUGGUCUGAGAGGAUGAUCAGCCACACUGGGACUGAGACACGGCCCAGACUCCUACGGGAGGCAGCAGUGGGGAAUUUUCCGCAAUGGGCGAAAGCCUGACGGAGCAACGCCGCGUGAGGGAUGAAGGCCUCUGGGCUGUAAACCUCUUUUAUCAAGGAAGAAGAUCUGACGGUACUUGAUGAAUAAGCCACGGCUAAUUCCGUGCCAGCAGCCGCGGUAAUACGGGAGUGGCAAGCGUUAUCCGGAAUUAUUGGGCGUAAAGCGUCCGCAGGCGGCCUGAUAAGUCUGUUGUCAAAGCGUGGAGCUUAACUCCAUUUCGGCAAUGGAAACUGUGAGGCUUGAGUGUGGUAGGGGCAGAGGGAAUUCCCGGUGUAGCGGUGAAAUGCGUAGAUAUCGGGAAGAACACCAGUGGCGAAGGCGCUCUGCUGGGCCAUAACUGACGCUCAUGGACGAAGGCCAGGGGAGCGAAAGGGAUUAGAUACCCCUGUAGUCCUGGCCGUAAACGAUGAACACUAGGUGUCGGGGGAAUCGACCCCCUCGGUGUCGUAGCCAACGCGUUAAGUGUUCCGCCUGGGGAGUACGCACGCAAGUGUGAAACUCAAAGGAAUUGACGGGGGCCCGCACAAGCGGUGGAGUAUGUGGUUUAAUUCGAUGCAACGCGAAGAACCUUACCAGGGUUUGACAUCCUGCGAAUCCCUUGGAAACUUGGGAGUGCCUUCGGGAGCGCAGAGACAGGUGGUGCAUGGCUGUCGUCAGCUCGUGUCGUGAGAUGUUGGGUUAAGUCCCGCAACGAGCGCAACCCACGUCUUUAGUUGCCAGCAUUGAGUUGGGCACUCUAGAGAGACCGCCGGUGAUAAACCGGAGGAAGGUGUGGAUGACGUCAAGUCAUCAUGCCCCUUACAUCCUGGGCUACACACGUACUACAAUGCUACGGACAAAGGGCAGCAAACUCGCGAGAGCUAGCAAAUCCCAUAAACCGUGGCUCAGUUCAGAUCGUAGGCUGCAACUCGCCUACGUGAAGGAGGAAUCGCUAGUAAUCGCAGGUCAGCAUACUGCGGUGAAUACGUUCCCGGGCCUUGUACACACCGCCCGUCACACCAUGGAAGUUGGCCACGCCCGAAGCCGUUACUCCAACCCUUGUGGAGGAGGACGUCGAAGGUGGGGCUGAUGACUGGGGUGAAGUCGUAACAAGGUA
RNAcentral lists this ribosomal RNA (1443 nucleotides) under metagenome. RNAcentral's name for it is "bacterial SSU rRNA". It matches the Rfam family "Bacterial small subunit ribosomal RNA". The record is from RNAcentral.